UAUGGUGCGUAUCUUGAAUGUCAAAACGACUCUCGGCAACGGAUAUCUCGGCUCUCGCAUCGAUGAAGAACGUAGCGAAAUGCGAUACUUGGUGUGAAUUGCAGAAUCCCGUGAACCAUCGAGUCUUUGAACGCAAGUUGCGCCCGAAGCCUUCGGGCCGAGGGCACGCCUGCCUGGGC
RNAcentral lists this ribosomal RNA (179 nucleotides) under Ruellia acutangula. RNAcentral describes it as "5.8S ribosomal RNA". The stretch from base 28 to 179 matches the Rfam family "5.8S ribosomal RNA". From Rfam's summary of the family: 5.8S ribosomal RNA (5.8S rRNA) is a component of the large subunit of the eukaryotic ribosome. It is transcribed by RNA polymerase I as part of the 45S precursor that also contains 18S and 28S rRNA. Lineage: Eukaryota; Viridiplantae; Streptophyta; Magnoliopsida; Lamiales; Acanthaceae. RNAcentral also lists the same sequence under 2 other names. The record is from RNAcentral.